RNAcentral lists this ribosomal RNA (1456 nucleotides) under Salmonella enterica subsp. enterica serovar Schwarzengrund. Its description in RNAcentral is "bacterial SSU rRNA". It matches the Rfam family "Bacterial small subunit ribosomal RNA". Lineage: Bacteria; Pseudomonadati; Pseudomonadota; Gammaproteobacteria; Enterobacterales; Enterobacteriaceae. The record is from RNAcentral.
CGAGUGGCGGACGGGUGAGUAAUGUCUGGGAAACUGCCCGAUGGAGGGGGAUAACUACUGGAAACGGUGGCUAAUACCGCAUAACGUCGCAAGACCAAAGAGGGGGACCUUCGGGCCUCUUGCCAUCAGAUGUGCCCAGAUGGGAUUAGCUUGUUGGUGAGGUAACGGCUCACCAAGGCGACGAUCCCUAGCUGGUCUGAGAGGAUGACCAGCCACACUGGAACUGAGACACGGUCCAGACUCCUACGGGAGGCAGCAGUGGGGAAUAUUGCACAAUGGGCGCAAGCCUGAUGCAGCCAUGCCGCGUGUAUGAAGAAGGCCUUCGGGUUGUAAAGUACUUUCAGCGGGGAGGAAGGUGUUGUGGUUAAUAACCGCAGCAAUUGACGUUACCCGCAGAAGAAGCACCGGCUAACUCCGUGCCAGCAGCCGCGGUAAUACGGAGGGUGCAAGCGUUAAUCGGAAUUACUGGGCGUAAAGCGCACGCAGGCGGUCUGUCAAGUCGGAUGUGAAAUCCCCGGGCUCAACCUGGGAACUGCAUUCGAAACUGGCAGGCUUGAGUCUUGUAGAGGGGGGUAGAAUUCCAGGUGUAGCGGUGAAAUGCGUAGAGAUCUGGAGGAAUACCGGUGGCGAAGGCGGCCCCCUGGACAAAGACUGACGCUCAGGUGCGAAAGCGUGGGGAGCAAACAGGAUUAGAUACCCUGGUAGUCCACGCCGUAAACGAUGUCUACUUGGAGGUUGUGCCCUUGAGGCGUGGCUUCCGGAGCUAACGCGUUAAGUAGACCGCCUGGGGAGUACGGCCGCAAGGUUAAAACUCAAAUGAAUUGACGGGGGCCCGCACAAGCGGUGGAGCAUGUGGUUUAAUUCGAUGCAACGCGAAGAACCUUACCUGGUCUUGACAUCCACGGAAGUUUUCAGAGAUGAGAAUGUGCCUUCGGGAACCGUGAGACAGGUGCUGCAUGGCUGUCGUCAGCUCGUGUUGUGAAAUGUUGGGUUAAGUCCCGCAACGAGCGCAACCCUUAUCCUUUGUUGCCAGCGGUCCGGCCGGGAACUCAAAGGAGACUGCCAGUGAUAAACUGGAGGAAGGUGGGGAUGACGUCAAGUCAUCAUGGCCCUUACGACCAGGGCUACACACGUGCUACAAUGGCGCAUACAAAGAGAAGCGACCUCGCGAGAGCAAGCGGACCUCAUAAAGUGCGUCGUAGUCCGGAUUGGAGUCUGCAACUCGACUCCAUGAAGUCGGAAUCGCUAGUAAUCGUGGAUCAGAAUGCCACGGUGAAUACGUUCCCGGGCCUUGUACACACCGCCCGUCACACCAUGGGAGUGGGUUGCAAAAGAAGUAGGUAGCUUAACCUUCGGGAGGGCGCUUACCACUUUGUGAUUCAUGACUGGGGUGAAGUCGUAACAAGGUAACCGUAGGGGAACCUGCGGUUGGAUCACCUCCUUACCUUAAAGAAGC